CGACAUUAGGCUUCUUGGGGAUAGGGAUCUCGCCGCGCUUCUCCAAGGGAAGCGUCAGCCUCCCUAGGACAGGCACGUCGACGAUGAGGUCGACUUUGAUCCUGUAAGGAAUGAUCAUCCCGGGGUUGAUGUCGUUGUAAGUGCUCUUGAUGUCGUCGUAGAUCAAGGUCAAGGGUAUCUUCACGGUCUCUUCCCCGUGCGCCUUGAUGGUUCCUGCGUCGGGGAUGAGGCCGGAGACGAGCUUACGCCCGUCGCUCUCGACGAGGUAGUCGAUGUCGAUGAGAGGGAUGGG
RNAcentral lists this long non-coding RNA (292 nucleotides) under Brassica rapa (field mustard). Its description in RNAcentral is "long non-coding RNA (BRAP_LNC003150)". Lineage: Eukaryota; Viridiplantae; Streptophyta; Magnoliopsida; Brassicales; Brassicaceae. The record is from RNAcentral.